RNAcentral lists this ribosomal RNA (454 nucleotides) under uncultured bacterium. RNAcentral describes it as "partial 16S ribosomal RNA". It matches the Rfam family "Bacterial small subunit ribosomal RNA", at positions 28 to 507 of the family's 1533-position model. The record is from RNAcentral.
GAUGAACGCUGACAGAAUGCUUAACACAUGCAAGUCUACUUGAACUUCGGUUUGGGUGGCGGACGGGUGAGUAACGCGUAAAGAACUUGCCUCACAGUUAGGGACAACAUUUGGAAACGAAUGCUAAUACCUGAUAUUAUGAUUUUAGGGCAUCCUAAGAUUAUGAAAGCUAUAUGCACUGUGAGAGAGCUUUGCGUCCCAUUAGCUAGUUGGAGAGGUAACGGCUCACCAAGGCGAUGAUGGGUAGCCGGCCUGAGAGGGUGAACGGCCACAAGGGGACUGAGACACGGCCCUUACUCCUACGGGAGGCAGCAGUGGGGAAUAUUGGACAAUGGACCAAAAGUCUGUUCCAGCAAUUCUGUGUGCACGAUGACGUUUUUCGGAAUGUAAAGUGCUUUCAGUUGGGAAGAAAAAAAUGACGGUACCAACAGAAGAAGUGACGGCUAAAUACGUG